This 86-nucleotide transfer RNA is filed under the name Guinardia striata. Its description in RNAcentral is "tRNA-Leu". It matches the Rfam family "tRNA". Rfam says of the family: Transfer RNA (tRNA) molecules are approximately 80 nucleotides in length. Their secondary structure includes four short double-helical elements and three loops (D, anti-codon, and T loops). Further hydrogen bonds mediate the characteristic L-shaped molecular structure. tRNAs have two regions of fundamental functional importance: the anti-codon, which is responsible for specific mRNA codon recognition, and the 3' end, to which the tRNAs corresponding amino acid is attached (by aminoacyl-tRNA synthetases). tRNAs cope with the degeneracy of the genetic code in two manners: having more than one tRNA (with a specific anti-codon) for a particular amino acid; and 'wobble' base-pairing, i.e. permitting non-standard base-pairing at the 3rd anti-codon position. The record is from RNAcentral. Lineage: Eukaryota; Bacillariophyta; Coscinodiscophyceae; Rhizosoleniales; Rhizosoleniaceae.
GGGAACGUGGUGGAAUUGGUAGACACGACAGACUUAAAAUCUGUUGUCUAGUGAUAGACGUGAGGGUUCAAGUCCCUCCGUUCCCA